AGCUUCUCUUUUUCAGGCUGCACAACACCAAAUCUCUCAGCCUUUCCUCAAGGAGAGCUGCUCAUCCCUCUGAUCAUCCUGGUGGCUUCCUCUGCCUCACUCCAACAGCUCCAUGUCCUUCCUGUGCUGGGACAGCAGAUCUGGACACAGCUCUGCAGGUGGGGUCACACUGAGUGGGGCAGAGGGGCAGAAUCCUCCCUCACCUGGUGCCCACAGAAUUCAGCUUUCUUCCCUCUGGAGCCAGGACAGUGAGUGGGAUGUGCAAUAUUUCUCCUGGCUUGGACCAGCACCUCUGCAGGACAGGAGAGCAGGGCUGUCCCUGCUCCUCCUCCAAAGGGAAGAAACUUCCAGUUCUCAGGUCUUCCCAUUCUUUGGAGAGCACACCAUGCCUGAAGUGAUUGUGAAGAGCACAUCAAACAAACUAAAAAACAAGGGAUGA
Molecule: long non-coding RNA, 439 nt
Filed under: Ficedula albicollis (Collared flycatcher)
Lineage: Eukaryota; Metazoa; Chordata; Aves; Passeriformes; Muscicapidae
Description: lncRNA (ENSFALG00000023376.1)
Source: RNAcentral